Molecule: ribosomal RNA, 354 nt
Filed under: Triticum aestivum (bread wheat)
Lineage: Eukaryota; Viridiplantae; Streptophyta; Magnoliopsida; Poales; Poaceae
Description: partial small subunit ribosomal RNA
Source: RNAcentral
AUGUUGCACAUUCCACGGCUCAAAAAAGACUGGGUGUUGAAAGAUGAAGAGGUGUUACAAAUGAAGCAAAAGAGCCUCCAAGAGGCCAUCGCACACAAAGCACAAAAUAUCCCGAAAACGCUGGUUUCCCAACACAAGUCUUACCAUAUUGACAAUCCAAACAGAAGCCUUGACAUACCAGUCUUUGCAGUUAAGUGCCAAGGGGCCAUGCGUCCCAUGGCACUCAAACCCAUGAUUGGAUUGGGCAUCAGGACCACGGCCAUUAGCUACGAAAGAACCAAGAUGGCGAGCUCUCUUUCUGUAUCUGACUCGGUUUUACUUGCACCUUUGUCCUGGUUUGUAACAUUAUUGUAA